This 497-nucleotide ribosomal RNA is filed under the name uncultured bacterium. RNAcentral's name for it is "partial 16S ribosomal RNA". It matches the Rfam family "Bacterial small subunit ribosomal RNA", at positions 28 to 507 of the family's 1533-position model. The record is from RNAcentral.
GAUGAACGCUGGCGGCGUGCCUAAUACAUGCAGGUCGAGCGAACAGAUGAGGAGCUUGCUCCUCUGACGUUAGCGGCGGACGGGUGAGUAACACGUGGAUAACCUACCUAUAAGACUGGGAUAACUUCGGGAAACCGGAGCUAAUACCGGAUAAUAUAUUGAACCGCAUGGUUCAAUAGUGAAAGACGGUUUUGCUGUCACUUAUAGAUGGAUCCGCGCCGCAUUAGCUAGUUGGUAAGGUAACGGCUUACCAAGGCAACGAUGCGUAGCCGACCUGAGAGGGUGAUCGGCCACACUGGAACUGAGACACGGUCUAGACUCCUACGGGAGGCAGCAGUAGGGAAUCUUCCGCAAUGGGCGAAAGCCUGACGGAGCAACGCCGCGUGAGUGAUGAAGGUCUUCGGAUCGUAAAACUCUGUUAUUAGGGAAGAACAAAUGUGUAAGUAACUAUGCACGUCUUGACGGUACCUAAUCAGAAAGCCACGGCUAACUACGUG